Molecule: non-coding RNA, 73 nt
Organism: Potamilus streckersoni
Lineage: Eukaryota; Metazoa; Mollusca; Bivalvia; Unionida; Unionidae
Source: the annotation of a GenBank genome assembly
CCUCCGGUGGCCUAGUGGUUAGAACGUCCGCCUCGGAUGCGGGGGGUCGUGGGUUCGAUCUCCAGCCGAAUCA